RNAcentral lists this ribosomal RNA (1045 nucleotides) under Ameiva ameiva. Its description in RNAcentral is "partial 16S ribosomal RNA". It matches the Rfam family "Bacterial large subunit ribosomal RNA", at positions 821 to 2620 of the family's 2925-position model. The record is from RNAcentral. Lineage: Eukaryota; Metazoa; Chordata; Lepidosauria; Squamata; Teiidae.
UUGAAAAGCCAAACGAGCCUGGUGAUAGCUGGUUGUCCAAUAAAUGAAUUUUAGUUCAACUUUAAACUCUUCAACCCACAAUCACCUAUUUGAUUACCUAAAAGUUUAAAAGAUAGUCAAUGAGGGCACAGCCUCAUUGACACAGGAAACAACCGCCCGUAGAGACUAAAAAUAUCUAACCAACCCAGUAGGCCCUUAAGCAGCCAACAAAAAUCUAAUGCGUUACAGCAACCAACUUACCCACAACAAUACCACAAUUCAACCCAACCUCCUAUUUUAAAUCGGACAAGCCUAUCUCAUAGGAAAACCCAUGUUAAAACUAGUAAUGAGAAAAAUUCUCUUAGCACAAGUAAAUAUUAACGGACACCAUCAUUUGGACCCAUAUAUUACACAAGAUAAACCACCCCCUCCCAACCGUUAGCCCAACCUAGGUGUGCACAAAGAAGAUUAAAAGUUACAAAAGGAACUCGGCAAUUCAAAGUCCCAACUGUUUACCAAAAACAUAGCCUUUAGCCCAACAAGUAUUAAAGGUGAUGCCUGCCCAGUGAUUCUUCAACGGCCGCGGGACCCUACACCGUGCAAAGGUAGCAUAAUCAUUUGUCAUCUAAAUAGUGACUAGUAUGAAUGGCCCAAUGAGGACUUUCCUGUCUCUUGUAACCAAUCAAUGAAACUGAUCUUUCAGUCCAAAAGCUGAAAUAUUUACACAAGACGAAAAGACCCUGUGGAACUUUAAGUGCUAAUCAACACAUGACACAGACACUUUUAGUUGGGGCAACUUUGGAACAAAACAAAACUUCCAAUACAAAGACCACCUCCGACAAACCAAGGCCCACACGCCAAUGUUUGCCUCUUAUACUGAUCCAGUACUACUGAUCAAAGAAACAAGCUACCCCAGGGAUAACAGCGCCAUCCCCUCUUAGAGUCCCAAUCGACGAGCGGGGCUUACGACCUCGAUGUUGGAUCAGGGCCCCCAAACAGUGCAGCAGCUGUUAAAGGUUUGUUUGUUCAACAAUUAAUGCCCUACGUGAUCUGAGUUCAGACCGGA